Molecule: ribosomal RNA, 287 nt
Filed under: uncultured bacterium
Lineage: Bacteria
Description: partial 16S ribosomal RNA
Rfam family: Bacterial small subunit ribosomal RNA
Source: RNAcentral
GGAUUAGAUACCCUGGUAGUCCACGCCGUAAACGAUGAUCACUCGUUGUUGGCGACACACAGUCAGUGACCAAGCGAAAGCGAUAAGUGAUCCACCUGGGGAGUACGUUCGCAAGAAUGAAACUCAAAGGAAUUGACGGGGGCCCGCACAAGCGGUGGAGCAUGUGGUUUAAUUCGAUGAUACGCGAGGAACCUUACCUGGGCUCAAAUGCUUAAUGACAGACCCUGAAAGGGGUUUUUCUUCGGACAUUUUGCAAGGUGCUGCAUGGUUGUCGUCAGCUCGUGCCG